Molecule: ribosomal RNA, 497 nt
Filed under: uncultured bacterium
Lineage: Bacteria
Description: partial 16S ribosomal RNA
Rfam family: Bacterial small subunit ribosomal RNA
Source: RNAcentral
GAUGAACGCUGGCGGCGUGCCUAAUACAUGCCAGUCGAGCGAACAGACGAGGAGCUUGCUCCUCUGACGUUAGCGGCGGACGGGUGAGUAACACGUGGAUAACCUACCUAUAAGACUGGGAUAACUUCGGGAAACCGGAGCUAAUACCGGAUAAUAUAUUGAACCGCAUGGUUCAAUAGUGAAAGACGGUUUUGCUGUCACUUAUAGAUGGAUCCGCGCCGCAUUAGCUAGUUGGUAAGGUAACGGCUUACCAAGGCAACGAUGCGUAGCCGACCUGAGAGGGGGAUCGGCCACACUGGAACUGAGACACGGUCCAUACUCCUACGGGAGGCAGCAGUAGGGAAUCUUCCGCAAUGGGCGAAAGCCUGACGGAGCAACGCCGCGUGAGUGAUGAAGGUCUUCGGAUCGUAAAACUCUGUUAUUAGGGAAGAACAAAUGUGUAAGUAACUAUGCACGUCUUGACGGUACCUAAUCAGAAAGCCACGGCUAACUACGUG